RNAcentral lists this ribosomal RNA (550 nucleotides) under uncultured Bifidobacterium sp. RNAcentral describes it as "bacterial SSU rRNA". It matches the Rfam family "Bacterial small subunit ribosomal RNA", at positions 147 to 709 of the family's 1533-position model. Lineage: Bacteria; Bacillati; Actinomycetota; Actinomycetes; Bifidobacteriales; Bifidobacteriaceae. The record is from RNAcentral.
CUCCUGGAAACGGGUGGUAAUGCCGGAUGCUCCGGUUGGAUGCAUGUCCUUCCGGGAAAGAUUUCAUCGGUAUGGGAUGGGGUCGCGUCCUAUCAGGUAGUCGGCGGGGUAACGGCCCACCGAGCCUACGACGGGUAGCCGGCCUGAGAGGGCGACCGGCCACAUUGGGACUGAGAUACGGCCCAGACUCCUACGGGAGGCAGCAGUGGGGAAUAUUGCACAAUGGGCGCAAGCCUGAUGCAGCGACGCCGCGUGCGGGAUGACGGCCUUCGGGUUGUAAACCGCUUUUGAUCGGGAGCAAGCCUUCGGGUGAGUGUACCUUUCGAAUAAGCACCGGCUAACUACGUGCCAGCAGCCGCGGUAAUACGUAGGGUGCAAGCGUUAUCCGGAAUUAUUGGGCGUAAAGGGCUCGUAGGCGGUUCGUCGCGUCCGGUGUGAAAGUCCAUCGCUUAACGGUGGAUCCGCGCCGGGUACGGGCGGGCUUGAGUGCGGUAGGGGAGACUGGAAUUCCCGGUGUAACGGUGGAAUGUGUAGAUAUCGGGAAGAACAC